RNAcentral lists this ribosomal RNA (253 nucleotides) under uncultured bacterium. RNAcentral's name for it is "partial 16S ribosomal RNA". It matches the Rfam family "Bacterial small subunit ribosomal RNA", at positions 524 to 776 of the family's 1533-position model. The record is from RNAcentral.
UACGUAGGGUCCGAGCGUUGUCCGGAAUUAUUGGGCGUAAAGAGCUCGUAGGCGGUCUGUCACGUCGGCUGUGAAAACCUGGGGCUCAACCCCGGGCCUGCAGCCGAUACGGGCAGACUAGAAUUCGGUAGGGGAGUCUGGAAUUCCUGGUGUAGCGGUGAAAUGCGCAGAUAUCAGGAGGAACACCGGUGGCGAAGGCGGGACUCUGGGCCGAUAUUGACGCUGAGGAGCGAAAGCGUGGGGAGCGAACAGG